Non-coding RNA from Misgurnus anguillicaudatus (oriental weatherfish), 2031 nucleotides. NCBI's taxonomy places the organism in Eukaryota, Metazoa, Chordata, Actinopteri, Cypriniformes, Cobitidae. The record is from RefSeq and is a predicted model, not a curated record.
AGCAAAGUUUCUGGCACAAAUCUGGCUUACAUUGGGCAUUUAUGGCUAAAUUUAGGCUCUCUUUUGUUCACACCUUUGUGUGAAACAGCUUUCGGGGGAGUUGUGGGGUGAGGCUAGCCAGCCAAAAGCAAAAGGUACAUUUUUGGCUGAGUCCUGGCUUAAGUGUGGUCUGCCAGAAAAUAGUCAAUAUAUGGCAGAGUUCUGGCUAAGGUUUGGUUGGCCAAAGAGUAAAAAAAACACCAAAUAAAAUCAUUUACAAUUGAUAAAAACAUCAAAGUUAAUAUUUAAGGCAAUAAUAAAUAUGUUUAUCCUUAUUAAAAGACGAAAUGUAGAAAAUGUUAUUUUGGGCAGUUAAUCCAAAGGUGUCAAUGUGCAAUAUACAAACAAUGCAAUAAACAGAUAAAUUAAUAAUUCAGUCUGCACUAAUAUAAAUCAAACAAAAGUAUUUUAAGUAUGUGUGCUUGUUUAAGUCUUUUUAGUUUUGUAUUUUAUUUUUUAUAAAUAAAUAAGACUUUACAUUAAAUUGUGUUUACAAUUAAAAAAUACGACUAACUAAUACUAAUAUUUAUUGGUGCACUUUCGUUUCUAAAACAAUGACAUAUAUUGCAAUGGAUCUUGGAAAUAGUAGUCAUUUAACCUCAACAGCGUUCAAUCCGCCGUGGAAAAUGAACUACCUUUCCCAUAAUGCAACUGGUCAUGAUCAGGAACUUCCGCGAAAUUCAAACCCCCACUGUGUACUGGACGAAGGACACGCGAUCUUUUGUCUUGUGGAGUUUUAUAUAACACAGUAAGUAAGAGACGCAACAUGCAUGACGGGGAUGAUAAAAUAAUCAAUAAGAAGUUUGAAUCUUUAAAUGAAUGCUGAACCCCAAAGAAGCCAAACGAAGAUUAGAUGUUUUCUGUACUAAACCACAAAUCAGCAUUUGCUGGUAAUCAUAACAGUUACAAAGUGACUCAUUCAUUCCAACUAUUUAUAUCUUAGUAAAACAAUGUUUUUGAUAUUCUAGAAAGGCAUGUAUUCAAGUUUUAGCUUAAUAAAGAUGGUUUACUAUGAUCUCUUAUUCUCUUCAGUCCUGGUCAGUGCAGUUCACAAGAUUGUGUUGUUAAAAGGCCAGAUUUAUUUGCUUUAUUUUAUGGUGUAACAUAACCAACCCCACUUGAAGAAUAACCACAUGCUUUUGUAAAGAAUUUAAUAUGCAAGAGUCAUGCAUUUUGUAUGUGUUUGUUUUAAUCUUUUAUUUUACAGUAUAAAGUUUAAUUAUAUUUGCAUUUUGUUUGCAGAAGUCAUGUACCACACUUUGUCAACAAUAAAUGUUGUUUCUGCAAUCUGGAUAAAGAAUAAUAUAUUACUGCCUCUUGGGAAAACAGCAGACUGUACUCCAGACAGAGACAAAGACAUGAGGACAUCCAUUGCUUUUAAGUCCUAUACCAGACUAUGUUGUUCCAGCUGUCUGGGUAAAGACUGAUACAUUACUGCCUCUUGGAGAACAGCAAACCAUUCUCCAGACAGAGACAAAGACAUGGACAUCAAAACAGAAAAUUAAGUACUUGAUCUUGGAUUGUUUGGAGUGAACGCUGGAAAAUAAUGAAGCAGGAAAUUGACUAAAACAAUUUUUGUACUUGGCUGUAAGAAGUCCUUUGUGUGCACAGACAUGACUGGAGAUUAAAGUUACUAAAUGUUGCGCUUUUUCUAGCUGGUGACAUAACAUGGUAUUAUUUUCAAAUGUAUUUAUCUAAUACACAUUUGCACAUCUGUAAACAUUCAUUUUAUAUAGGAUGUUUUUUAUAUUUAACCAGUUGUUGUAUAUUGCUUUCUGUUAUUACAUCUGUUUUUUUUUUGCCUGUUUAUUGUUUAAAACAAUUAAGUUAAUGUUUCUCUGUUAGCUUUUAUGUUACUUUGGCUAUUUCUUUGCUUUUAUUUGAUCCUUCUACUGUUAUUUGUUUAUUUGGCAGAACAUUUGACAUUUCAUUUAUUUUGCUGUUAUCUGAAAUUAUCCUUGUCACCAUCAAUAAAACUCUAUAUUUGCUUUA